UCAUGGCUCAGAUUGAACGCUGGCGGAAUGCUUACACAUGGCAAAGGUCGAACGGUAGAGGGGGCAACCCUUGAGAGUGGCGAACGGGUGAGUAAUAUAUCGGAACGUGCCCAGUCGUGGGGGAUAACGUAGCGAAAGUUACGCUAAUACCGCAUACGAUCUAAGGAUGAAAGCGGGGGACUCGCAAGAGCCUCGCGCGAUUGGAGCGGCCGAUAUCAGAUUAGGGUAGUUGGUGGGGUAAAGGCUCACCAAGCCAACGAUCUGUAGCUGGUCUGAGAGGACGACCAGCCACACUGGAACUGAGACACGGUCCAGACUCCUACGGGAGGCAGCAGUGGGGAAUUUUGGACAAUGGACGCAAGUCUGAUCCAGCCAUUCCGCGUGCAGGAUGAAGGCCCUCGGGUUGUAAACUGCUUUGUACGGAACGAAAAGGUUUCUAUUAAUACUAGGAGCUCAUGACGGUACCGUAAGAAUAAGCACCGGCUAACUACGUG
RNAcentral lists this ribosomal RNA (494 nucleotides) under uncultured bacterium. RNAcentral describes it as "bacterial SSU rRNA". It matches the Rfam family "Bacterial small subunit ribosomal RNA", at positions 17 to 507 of the family's 1533-position model. The record is from RNAcentral.